This 433-nucleotide ribosomal RNA is filed under the name uncultured bacterium. Its description in RNAcentral is "partial 16S ribosomal RNA". It matches the Rfam family "Bacterial small subunit ribosomal RNA", at positions 29 to 507 of the family's 1533-position model. The record is from RNAcentral.
AACGAACGCUGGCGGCAUGCCUAACACAUGCAAGUCGAACGAGACCUUCGGGUCUAGUGGCGCACGGGUGCGUAACGCGUGGGAACCUGCCCUUAGGUUCGGAAUAACUCCCCGAAAGGGGUGCUAAUACCGGAUAAUGUCUUCGGACCAAAGAUUUAUCGCCUUUGUAUGGGCCCGCGUUGGAUUAGCUAGUUGGUAGGGUAAAAGCCUACCAAGGCGACGAUCCAUAGCUGGUCUGAGAGGAUGAUCAGCCACACUGGGACUGAGACACGGCCCAGACUCCUACGGGAGGCAGCAGUGGGGAAUAUUGGACAAUGGGCGAAAGCCUGAUCCAGCAAUGCCGCGUGAGUGAUACAGGCAUUAGGGUUGUAAAGCUCUUUUACCCGGGAUGAUAAUGACAGUACCGGGAGAAUAAGCGCCGGCUAACUCCGUG